GUGAAUGAUGAUGUCUAUAUUCACACUGUACUAGAGGUGCUCCCUCAGUGACUACAAAAAAAAAAAACUGAUUUAAUGACUCUGACA
RNAcentral lists this small nucleolar RNA (87 nucleotides) under Candidozyma auris. The record is from RNAcentral. Lineage: Eukaryota; Fungi; Ascomycota; Pichiomycetes; Serinales; Metschnikowiaceae.